CCCGAAACCAGGUGAUCUACCCUUGGUCAGGUUGAAGUUCAGGUAACACUGAAUGGAGGACCGAACCGACUUACGUUGAAAAGUGAGCGGAUGAACUGAGGGUAGCGGAGAAAUUCCAAUCGAACCUGGAGAUAGCUGGUUCUCUCCGAAAUAGCUUUAGGGCUAGCCUCAAGUGAUGAUUAUUGGAGGUAGAGCACUGUUUGGACGAGGGGCCCCUCUCGGGUUACCGAAUUCAGACAAACUCCGAAUGCCAAUUAAUUU
Molecule: ribosomal RNA, 261 nt
Filed under: Staphylococcus aureus MM66
Lineage: Bacteria; Bacillati; Bacillota; Bacilli; Caryophanales; Staphylococcaceae
Description: partial 23S ribosomal RNA
Rfam family: Bacterial large subunit ribosomal RNA
Source: RNAcentral